This 360-nucleotide ribosomal RNA is filed under the name uncultured bacterium. RNAcentral's name for it is "bacterial SSU rRNA". It matches the Rfam family "Bacterial small subunit ribosomal RNA", at positions 29 to 416 of the family's 1533-position model. The record is from RNAcentral.
AACGAACGCUGGCGGCAUGCCUAACACAUGCAAGUCGAACGAGACCUUCGGGUCUAGUGGCGCACGGGUGCGUAACGCGUGGGAAUUUGCCUCGGGGUACGGAAUAACUCAGGGAAACUUGAGCUAAUACCGUAUGAUGUCUUCGGACCAAAGAUUUAUCGCCCUGAGAUAAGCCCGCGUAGGAUUAGCUAGUUGGUGAGGUAAGAGCUCACCAAGGCGACGAUCCUUAGCUGGUCUGAGAGGAUGAUCAGCCACACUGGGACUGAGACACGGCCCAGACUCCUACGGGAGGCAGCAGUGGGGAAUAUUGGACAAUGGGCGAAAGCCUGAUCCAGCAAUGCCGCGUGAGUGAUGAAGGCC